RNAcentral lists this ribosomal RNA (460 nucleotides) under uncultured bacterium. RNAcentral's name for it is "partial 16S ribosomal RNA". It matches the Rfam family "Bacterial small subunit ribosomal RNA", at positions 338 to 795 of the family's 1533-position model. The record is from RNAcentral.
CCUACGGGUGGCAGCAGUGAGGAAUAUUGGUCAAUGGACGAGAGUCUGAACCAGCCAAGUAGCGUGAAGGAUGACUGCUCUAUGGGUUGUAAACUUCUUUUAUAUGGGAAUAAAAUGUUCCACGUGUGGGAUUUUGUAUGUACCAUAUGAAUAAGGAUCGGCUAACUCCGUGCCAGCAGCCGCGGUAAUACGGAGGAUCCGAGCGUUAUCCGGAUUUAUUGGGUUUAAAGGGAGCGUAGGUGGAUUGUUAAGUCAGUUGUGAAAGUUUGCGGCUCAACCGUAAAAUUGCAGUUGAAACUGGCAGUCUUGAGUACAGUAGAGGUGGGCGGAAUGCGUGGUGUAGCGGUGAAAUGCUUAGAUAUCACGAAGAACUCCGAUUGCGAAGGCAGUUCACUGGACUACAACUGACACUGAGGCUCGAAAGUGUGGGUAUCAAACAGGAUUAGAUACCCCUGUAGUC